GAUGAACGCUGGCGGCGUGCCUAAUACAUGCAAGUCGAGCGAACAGACGAGGAGCUUGCUCCUCUGACGUUAGCGGCGGACGGGUGAGUAACACGUGGAUAACCUACCUAUAAGACUGGGAUAACUUCGGGAAACCGGAGCUAAUACCGGAUAAUAUAUUGAACCGCAUGGUUCAAUAGUGAGAGACGGUUUUGCUGUCACUUAUAGAUGGAUCCGCGCCGCAUUAGCUAGUUGGUAAGGUAACGGCUUACCAAGGCAACGAUGCGUAGCCGACCUGAGAGGGUGAUCGGCCACACUGGAACUGAGACACGGUCCAGACUCCUACGGGAGGCAGCAGUAGGGAAUCUUCCGCAAUGGGCGAAAGCGUGACGGAGCAACGCCGCGUGAGUGAUGAAGGUCUUCGGAUCGUAAAACUCUGUUAUUAGGGAAGAACAAAUGUGUAAGUAACUAUGCACGUCUUGACGGUACCUAAUCAGAAAGCCACGGCUAACUACGUG
Molecule: ribosomal RNA, 497 nt
Filed under: uncultured bacterium
Lineage: Bacteria
Description: partial 16S ribosomal RNA
Rfam family: Bacterial small subunit ribosomal RNA
Source: RNAcentral